RNAcentral lists this transfer RNA (67 nucleotides) under Conus ateralbus. Its description in RNAcentral is "tRNA-Val". Lineage: Eukaryota; Metazoa; Mollusca; Gastropoda; Neogastropoda; Conidae. The record is from RNAcentral. RNAcentral also lists the same sequence under 6 other names.
AAGAAUGUAGUAUAAAAAAUACAUUUCACUUACACUGAAAAUAUAUUUAAGGAAUAAAUCGUUCUUA